GUCAAACAUUAGCCUCGAGAAGGGCCAGCGGGAAAGCACGGAGGCUUCUGAGAUAUGGCUGCAACUCAGGCAUUUAUGUGGAUCAUCCCCGUGGCUUUUCCAUUGCUCUGGGGUCCUGUGAUGUCCCACCUGGCAGGAGCUGGCGUAUCUUAGACGUCCAUGAAAUGAAAGGUGAGGUGCUUCCUCGGAGAGUGCUAAACACCAGGGAGGGAGCUUGACUUAGACCAGAAAACAGCAUUGGUGAGAUAUCCUGAGAAGAGAGAAAGUGACUGCAGACUUGUAC
This 283-nucleotide long non-coding RNA is filed under the name Apteryx owenii (little spotted kiwi). RNAcentral's name for it is "lncRNA (ENSAOWG00000004458.1)". The record is from RNAcentral. Lineage: Eukaryota; Metazoa; Chordata; Aves; Apterygiformes; Apterygidae.